GUUCUACAUUUCUCCUGCUCACUAACCAGACUAUUUCAUGUCUUUCCUCUCUCCUCACACUCAGCUGAUCUUUCUUCCUUCUACUGAGAAACUGACACAACCAGAAGAUGUUCCCCAGGUUCCCAAUGCACCUACUCAGCAACCUCAUCUUAGGAGAACAAAGAAAUUGCACUCUUCUCUUUGUCGCUUCCAUUUUGAUCUACCAAAACAAGCUAGCUCUUGUCCCAUUAGCAGAUUGCGUGGUUUUUAUGCCUCAAUAAACGUAUCCCUGUGGGAGAGUACGAAGGCCUGACGUCUGAAAAAUCUAAGAGGCAAAGGCACACAGCACACCUUG
Bubalus bubalis (water buffalo) is the source of this 334-nucleotide long non-coding RNA. RefSeq lists it as uncharacterized. Lineage: Eukaryota; Metazoa; Chordata; Mammalia; Artiodactyla; Bovidae. The transcript has 2 exons. The record is from RefSeq and is a predicted model, not a curated record.